Molecule: long non-coding RNA, 356 nt
Filed under: Vigna radiata
Lineage: Eukaryota; Viridiplantae; Streptophyta; Magnoliopsida; Fabales; Fabaceae
Description: long non-coding RNA (VRAD_LNC001652)
Source: RNAcentral
AGAAUAAGUGGAAACAUUAUGAGAACUUACUAGACCAGUAGAAUAUGUGACUGUGGGAUUAGAUUGAGGGAGAAGUGCCAAUAGACCUUGAAUUUGCUCUUGAGAAAGUCCCAAAGUUGAGGAAUGUAACUGCGCCUGAAAUUUAUUAGAAGAAACAACUGUAGAAGCCAUUAAAGUAGAAAAAAUUGUAGGAAAGCCAAGAACGAGAGGUAGAAGAUGAAGAUUUUAGGUAGUAAAAGAAUUGGUUGCGGAAGAACGUGAUCAAGAAUUAAUUUUCUUCUGAUACCAUGUUAGAAAAGAAGAAAGAAUGAAAUAUUGUAUUUCUUAUUGAAUGAUAAGGAGAGAAUACAAUUGAU